UUACGGCCACAUCACGUUGAAACGCCGGUUCCCGUACAAUCACCGAAGUUAAGCCUUGUCGAGCCUGUUCAAUACCUAGAUGAGUGACCGCUUGGAAAUGCCAGGUGCAGUAAG
Non-coding RNA from Acanthosepion pharaonis, 114 nucleotides. The record is from the annotation of a GenBank genome assembly. Lineage: Eukaryota; Metazoa; Mollusca; Cephalopoda; Sepiida; Sepiidae.